GGAGUCGGAGGAAGGAGGGAGCCUGAGGGAAGGAGGAGGGGGCGGUUAGCGCCAGCCGGCGCCGCCGUGGCCCCGCCCUCACGCUCUGUACCGGAGUGGGGCUCGUCUUCCACCUCCCCGGCGCCCCAGCUUUGCUUCCGUCCCACGCGCCCCUAGGUUCCGUGCGCACGCGUACCUGGCUCGAUCUUCCCUCUCGCGCUGACUACAGGCCGUGUGCGCGCACCUACGCACAGAGCGACGCGUACGUCCACCUGCCUGCCUUACAAGGCGUCUUGGGGGGCUUCUUCCUGGCCUGUCCGCGCCGCGCAGGCGCACGCCCACGCAGCGCCUAGACGCCCGACCCGAGCGUUCCGUCUCCUAGUAACCAGUCGCGAGCCCCCUUUUCCGAGAUUCAUUUUUUAUUCCCUGCCUGUGGCGGCCGCACCUGGAUAGAACGCGCAUGCGCAAGGCUGUCUGUCGCUGCGCCUCCUACCUUCAGCUUGGAACACCUGCUGCUUUGCGGCAGUGGCUUUGUGCCACUUUUCCCAGGGCUUGGACGUCAUUCUGGACCCACGUUCGGUGAACCGGUUACUCCCAGAACUGCAGCCAGGGUCCAUUUUGAGGGAGCCUUCCAGGUCCAGUCCUCCCGCUGCAGCCUGCUGGUAGCAAGCCGACCUGUCCGGAUGAUAUAGAUACCAGGUUUUUACAGCAAUUCUCUGAUGACCUUGAUAUGGUAGAACGCUGUGUAUUUCAAAAGUAGGCUCUCAUUUGAGGAGACUAACAAUUCCUGUUUUUGCCAGCAAUCAAGUUGAAGAAACGUUUCCACUACUUAAAAAGGUGCCUCCAAAUUACUUUCAUAUUUAUUCAGCUAUCCCAAUGGGAUUUUCACUUAGUAAAUCUGCUACUCAGGUAUCUGCUAUGCAUAUGGAUUCAAAAGUGGAUGAUCACCUACUACGAGGGACUGAAAAAAGCAGGCUGGAACCAAUGACUCGGUUAUUUCAAAACACCAAGAAAAUAGGAUUAGAAGACACAAAUCAAGAAAACGUUACAAGGAUUGAAGGGACUGGCACAGGAUCUCUUUCUGAGAAAGCCUUGGGUUCAGUGGUAUACGUCAAAGAAAAUGAUGGACUAGAAGUGACAGAUGUGGAAUGAAGCCAUGUGUACAUAUUACCAAUUUGUACAUAUUGCCUUUUAUUAACGGGGUAUUGAAAGAGAACUUAAUCUUAUUAGGAAACCCUAACAAAAUGAUGGAAGACUAUUGCUUUAUUUUUCACUAUUUAUCAGUCAUCUUACCCUGCAUUUUUUGAUGAUGCCUAUUCAAAAGGCAGUUGCUUUAGGGAGAAAAAGCCUUCCAAAUUCAAAGCAGAUUUCUCUGAUAUUCUAUCUUUCUUAAAAAUGAGAGUUUUUUAGUAACACUAUCUGAAUGGCACCAAAACAUUUUCAUUUUAAUGUAUUUCUUUAACAAGUGGUUAAGGCCGGGCACGGUGGCUCACGCCUGUAAUCCCAGCACUUUGGGAGGCCAAGGCGGGUGGAUCAC
Molecule: long non-coding RNA, 1516 nt
Organism: Saimiri boliviensis boliviensis (Bolivian squirrel monkey)
Lineage: Eukaryota; Metazoa; Chordata; Mammalia; Primates; Cebidae
Source: RefSeq, a predicted model, not a curated record